Long non-coding RNA from Bos taurus (domestic cattle), 1086 nucleotides. NCBI's taxonomy places the organism in Eukaryota, Metazoa, Chordata, Mammalia, Artiodactyla, Bovidae. The record is from Ensembl.
GUCCUAAGGCUGAGAAAGAAUGAUUAUACUAAAUGACAGAAUUUAAAAAAUCUAAACAGGCAGAAAAAUGGGGCAGAUGAACUAUGUAAGAUUGUAAAAUCUUACACUGCAGUUAUUAAAAAAAAAUGUGCAAGGUCAAGAUAGACCCUGGUGCUGCCUCGUGUAGCAAACACCGGGGAAAGAAAGCCUGCGGCCCCCGUCCCAGCAAACUGGGUGCCAGAGCUUGGGCCUGGGGGUCUUGGGGUCCCGUCUCCCCAGCAGCCUGUGUGGAGACAGCGUGGUUCCUAAGACGCUGCCCUAACCUGGAGGCAGCCCGGCAGAAACUGCCCUGAGACUUGGGAGCUGACAGAAAAAACGGUGUAAAUGCAGCAGGUGGGAGGGCAGAAACAUGAGCGGUGAAGCGAGAGGAGCCAGGGGCGCCGAUGAGCUGGGGGCGGCCGCCCCGCAGACCAGGCCGCUGGUUUAGAGCCUUUCAGUGAGUCGCACCUAGGAGAGAACGGGAACCAGGCUGUAGCAACCCAAGGAGAGCGGUGUCCAGGGUGGUGAGUGAGCCUCCAGGAGGAGACACAACAGCGCACCCAGAGCUUUCCAGGCAAAGCUGCCUCGAUGGACUGGUCCUCCGCCCUCAGAGGAAGAGACCCAGCUCAGAGGACUGACUUCAUUUAGCUCUCAGUGGCCCCGUGAAGUAGGUGCUGCUGUUGUAAGCAGACACAGCUCCAUCAGAGUAAUUGCUACCAUUCCAGCAAGCCCGCCAUGCUCAAAACCCCAUCAGUCUCCUCCUUUGAAGAUGGAUGAGCAAACUGGAUAAUCAUCUUUGCAAGAGAAACUUGAAGUGCUGAGCUUGUUUUUUUUGGAUGGGCCAAAAAGAGCCCCCCAAACUCUUCCUUUUCCAUGUUCUAACUGCCUCCCCCCACCACCACCCUCCGUUUCCGUUGCUCUGGAGAGUGACUCUCUUGUCCGUAUGUCCUUGGAAAGGCAUCAGGCUCCCCCACUCUGGGUAAAUCGUCUUGUCUGGAAGCAGAGUCAGCACCUCCCUGCCAGACACCCCACGUGGCUGCCUUGUCCUCCUGUGGGUCAGACCUGAGC